Long non-coding RNA from Jatropha curcas, 1131 nucleotides. RefSeq lists it as uncharacterized. The record is from RefSeq and is a predicted model, not a curated record. Lineage: Eukaryota; Viridiplantae; Streptophyta; Magnoliopsida; Malpighiales; Euphorbiaceae.
ACAUUAUAAUAUUAUUAUCCGUGGAUUCACUGAAUUUUGUUGAGUUCACUUAACCAGGGAUGGUUAAGUGAAACUGUGCGUUUUGUUUAAAUGAAAAAAAUAAAAAAAUAAAACCCUAAGCCACCAAAUCCCCUUCUUCUCAUCGUUUCUCCUCAACAAAAGCAGAGACAGCAGUAUGGUCACCAUGGGGAUUUAAUCGAGUCACGGCGAGUUCGACCAGUGAUCCAGGAAGUUUGAGCACAGACUGAUGAAGCUAUUCCCCACCAAAUCGAUGCAGUCUCCUUUGCCCUAACUGAUGUCCGGUAAAGCUUGUAUGUCCUUUGAUCAAAGAAGAAUAGCCCAGAUUUUCUGACCCCAAUCCAUGGUGUUUCGGCCAUCAACGUUAAACGGUAUAGUGGCCGAUGAAGUUAUUAAGGAUGGCAGGAGGGUGUAAUCUAUGACCUUGAUUGAUCUCGCUAGCUUGUGACCGAUCUUGCCGAAGAAGCAGAGAGUAGCGCUGAAGCGGAAAAGCAUGACUGCGACUCGCUCUCUACUGCGCUAGCUAAAAGAGAAAGAGAGAGACUGGAGAUGGAGUGAGCGAAAGAGGAACGACGACAAGAAGCUCUGGUUGGAGCGACUUAAGCUAAGGUCACCGAAAACGUCAAAAGAAAGGAGAAAGAGGAUUGUCUCGAUCGACAAGCCCCUUUGUCUCUCUCAUUAGCGCCGCUUAAACAAGAACGAAGGCAGAAAGCGAUAGCCAGAGGUGCCACCGGUGAUGUGAGGUGGUUAGAUUGGCAGAGCUUUGAGCUCCGGUGAAAGGAAAACAAAUAGCAUAGGGGUGGGGGCUGUGGUGCGAUUAGGAAGGAGGAGAAGGGAUUUCGGGUUAGUUGCUGAUUUGAUUUGGCUCGAUUCAUGAAUUUUUGUUGCAUAUCCAAUGUAGCAAAAUUAAUUGUGACUUAGAAUUGUAAUUUUCUAUGUCAUUCGCGCAUGCUGUGCACAACCAAUUUACUACUCUGACGAGGUGUGCAAUUAUUAUAAAAAGAAAAAUUUAGGGCUCCGCAAGGUCACUUUCAAAGUAAAGGAGACCAUAAGACUUUUUUGCGCAAAUUUAAGAGGCAAAUGAUCAUUCGGCUCAUUCUUAAAAUGAAAUAA